Molecule: ribosomal RNA, 253 nt
Filed under: uncultured bacterium
Lineage: Bacteria
Description: partial 16S ribosomal RNA
Rfam family: Bacterial small subunit ribosomal RNA
Source: RNAcentral
UACAGAGGGGGCAAGCGUUGUUCGGAAUUACUGGGCGUAAAGGGCGCGUAGGCGGCCUUCUAAGUCGAACGUGAAAUCCCCGGGCUCAACCCGGGAACUGCGUCCGAUACUGGAAGGCUUGAAUCCGGGAGAGGGAUGUGGAAUUCCAGGUGUAGCGGUGAAAUGCGUAGAUAUCUGGAGGAACACCGGUGGCGAAGGCGACAUCCUGGACCGGUAUUGACGCUGAGGAGCGAAAGCUAGGGGAGCGAACAGG